GAUGAACGCUGGCGGCGUGCUUAACACAUGCAAGUCGAACGGAAAGGCCAGUGCUUGCACUGGUACUCGAGUGGCGAACGGGUGAGUAACACGUGGGUGACCUGCCCUGGACUUCGGGAUAACCCUGGGAAACUGGGUCUAAUACCGGAUAGGACCAUGGGUUGGAUGCCGUUGUGGAAAGUUUUUUCGGUGUGGGAUGGGCUCGCGGCCUAUCAGCUUGUUGGUGGGGUAGUGGCCUACCAAGGCGUCGUCGGGUAGCCGGCGUGAGAGGGUGUACGGCCACAGUGGGACAGAGAUGCGGCAGAGUCUUAUGCGGGAGAGAGCAGUGGGAAAUAGUGCAAUAUGGGCGGGAGUCAGAUGGAGAAACGGCGUGUGCGAGAAGAGGGUUUGCGGGGUGAACACCGCUCGCGAGUGUGAAGGAGCGUGUGUGACGGUACCUGGAGAAGAAGCACCGGCUAACUACGUG
This 466-nucleotide ribosomal RNA is filed under the name uncultured bacterium. RNAcentral describes it as "partial 16S ribosomal RNA". It matches the Rfam family "Bacterial small subunit ribosomal RNA", at positions 28 to 507 of the family's 1533-position model. The record is from RNAcentral.